This 1018-nucleotide long non-coding RNA is filed under the name Sarcophilus harrisii (Tasmanian devil). Its description in RNAcentral is "lncRNA (ENSSHAG00000023242.1)". Lineage: Eukaryota; Metazoa; Chordata; Mammalia; Dasyuromorphia; Dasyuridae. The record is from RNAcentral.
CUUGAAGCACCUAGGUAUGCAAACUCCUCUCCAAGAGAUACUUUGAUUCCUGCCCAGAGAGGAACAGAAGGAGUUUAGAGGCUAGUCGCGUUAUUCUGAGACAGUUACAAGACUGAAAUUAUGUCUCCCCACCCUAACUUCCCUCCUCUCCUCCAUGUAUCACUGUACUAACACACUAUUUUUUGAUUUAAGCCAUUCCUGGUCGCUAUUCUUUAAAGAGGGAAAGGCUGACAUCUAUAAGCUUGAUUCCUUCUGUAAAAUGCUAUUACACACGUGUACACACACACACACACAUUGUGGAUGUGGAGUAAACAUUUAUUCAAGCAGAAAUCAGAGAAGUUACAUAGGUUAGAAUAUUUCAGAAAAUAGUGAAUGAACUUUCCUACUGGGAGCAAGAGAGCAUGAAUGAUCGGGGCCUUCCCUGGAGAAACGAAUUCUAUUAAUAACUGAUAUUAUGGGUAGAAUUUCAUCUGGAUCUUAGAUUCUUUAUCGUUGUUCAGUCUUGUCUGACUCCCUGCUCCCGCUUGGGGUUUUCUUGGCAAAAGCACUGGGAUGGUUCGUGCUUUCUUUCUCCAGGUCGUGUGACAGAGGAGGAGACUGAGGCGAGCAGGGUGGUGACUUGCCCAGGAUCACCCCCCAGUCAGCGUCUGAGGCAGGGGUUGCGCUGGGGCGCCAGGUCCCACAGCAGCCGAUAGUUAGGGCAUCACCGAGUUCUCAGAGGGACGAUUCUUCCCAUUUUUUACAGAGGGAAGAGACUGCAGAGAGGGUGAGCCAUUGUGCAGCAUGUAUGGGGGGGGGCGGGGACCCCCCACCAGGCUGGGACCCUGACCCAAUUCUCUCAUUUUACAAACGAGGAAACUGAGUCUCGGAAGGAAAGGACAUGCUCAAGCUCAUAAUCACAAGGUUGGGGGAGGGGUCAGAGAGAGGAGGCUUUCGCUAUGGGAUGGCCGCCCCUCGGCAUUCUGGGAACCGAAGGGCCUCUAGUCCUUCCGAGCUUACGUGCGCUCCGUGACCAUCC